Molecule: ribosomal RNA, 814 nt
Filed under: uncultured Bacillus sp.
Lineage: Bacteria; Bacillati; Bacillota; Bacilli; Caryophanales; Bacillaceae
Description: bacterial SSU rRNA
Rfam family: Bacterial small subunit ribosomal RNA
Source: RNAcentral
ACAUGCAAGUCGAGCGAACUGAUUAGAAGCUUGCUUCUAUGACGUUAGCGGCGGACGGGUGAGUAACACGUGGGCAACCUGCCUGUAAGACUGGGAUAACUUCGGGAAACCGAAGCUAAUACCGGAUAGGAUCUUCUCCUUCAUGGGAGAUGAUUGAAAGAUGGUUUCGGCUAUCACUUACAGAUGGGCCCGCGGUGCAUUAGCUAGUUGGUGAGGUAACGGCUCACCAAGGCAACGAUGCAUAGCCGACCUGAGAGGGUGAUCGGCCACACUGGGACUGAGACACGGCCCAGACUCCUACGGGAGGCAGCAGUAGGGAAUCUUCCGCAAUGGACGAAAGUCUGACGGAGCAACGCCGCGUGAGUGAUGAAGGCUUUCGGGUCGUAAAACUCUGUUGUUAGGGAAGAACAAGUACAAGAGUAACUGCUUGUACCUUGACGGUACCUAACCAGAAAGCCACGGCUAACUACGUGCCAGCAGCCGCGGUAAUACGUAGGUGGCAAGCGUUAUCCGGAAUUAUUGGGCGUAAAGCGCGCGCAGGCGGUUUCUUAAGUCUGAUGUGAAAGCCCACGGCUCAACCGUGGAGGGUCAUUGGAAACUGGGGAACUUGAGUGCAGAAGAGAAAAGCGGGAAUUCCACGUGUAGCGGUGAAAUGCGUAGAGAUGUGGAGGAACACCAGUGGCGAAGGCGGCUUUUUGGUCUGUAACUGACGCUGAGCGCGAAAGCGUGGGGAGCAAACAGGAUUAAUACCCUGGUAGUCCACGCCGUAAACGAUGAUGCUAAUGUUAGAGGGGUUCCGCCCUUUAAUUGCUGG